Molecule: ribosomal RNA, 497 nt
Filed under: uncultured bacterium
Lineage: Bacteria
Description: partial 16S ribosomal RNA
Rfam family: Bacterial small subunit ribosomal RNA
Source: RNAcentral
GAUGAACGCUGGCGGCGUGCCUAAUACAUGCAAGUCGAGCGAACAGACGAGGAGCUUGCUCCUCUGACGUUAGCGGCGGACGGGUGAGUAACACGUGGAUAACCUACCUAUAAGACUGGGAUAACUUCGGGAAACCGGAGCUAAUACCGGAUAAUAUAUUGAACCGCAUGGUUCAAUAGUGAAAGACGGCUUUGCUGUCACUUAUAGAUGGAUCCGCGCCGCAUUAGCUAGUUGGUAAGGUAACGGCUUACCAAGGCAACGAUGCGUAGCCGACCUGAGAGGGUGAUCGGCCACCCUGGAACUGAGACACGGUCCAGACUCCUACGGGAGGCAGCAGUAGGGAAUCUUCCUCAAUGGGCGAAAGCCUGACGGAGCAACGCCGCGUGAGUGAUGAAGGUCUUCGGAUCGUAAAACUCUGUUAUUAGGGAAGAACAAAUGUGUAAGUAACUAUGCACGUCUUGACGGUACCUAAUCAGAAAGCCCCGGCUAACUACGUG